This 22-nucleotide non-coding RNA is filed under the name Rattus norvegicus (Norway rat). The record is from RNAcentral. Lineage: Eukaryota; Metazoa; Chordata; Mammalia; Rodentia; Muridae.
AUAUGUUGACACAUUGUCUAGU